Non-coding RNA from Callithrix jacchus (white-tufted-ear marmoset), 1028 nucleotides. The record is from RefSeq and is a predicted model, not a curated record. Lineage: Eukaryota; Metazoa; Chordata; Mammalia; Primates; Cebidae.
AUAAAAAGAAAAUAAAGUCUUUCUUUAGACGCCCUCCCUCUCAAAGCCUUAGGGGAGGAAAGUGCAGCCCUCUGCUUGCUGAUGAUGAAAUUAGUGGGCGCUCACCAUUCAAGACAAAGGCAAGAAAGGACUGGAAUCUGAUGUCAAAUGCCACAGAAGAGAAUAUAUUUUACACAGCAUAUUAGGCCCCAACGCAAAUUAGAAGAAAUAUGGGGAGCCUUCAAAAAGGAUAAAGAGUCUGUCCUCUAAGAAGCCCAGCUCCAGAUGCCACAUUACUCAGCACAAGGGCCCUUCACCAUGACUAGACUCAUUUCCACAGCUAGAGAACCGUGUUCUCAGGUACAGCAAUGUUACUGCGUGACCUUGGAGUAUGAUGUCCGCCCUGGAAACCUGGAAGCAACCCUUUUCAGGCUGGCCUUCGCUCAUCAGGGAAGUCUCGCUCACCACACUUAAGCUAUAUAAGACAGAGCAGUACUCACCUUGGUGGUAUAAAAUUAAAGACUAAAUGAAGCAAGCAACAGACUUCAAAAGAAGAGCCAUCCCCUCCGCAAAGGAAGGAGCUGAGAACAAAAAUCCUCCGGAACAGCCCCCAUCGCUUUCCCUUUGUCAUUAGUGAGCCCCUGAAGACGGAUUCCUGUUUGACAUGGAGCCUGUACUUUUGACAGAGUCCCUGAACAUGACCCCUAAAUUGAUUUUAAAUCCCUCUUCAGAAGAAACAGAAAUGAUAAAACACACAGCAUCUUUUAGAGACCAUCUGCCAGAAACCACUCAACAGAUGGGGGCUUAAAACUCUGUUAGCCUCCAGCCUGCCAGUCUUUGUUUAAACUUUAAGAGAACUGCAGGUGUUAAAUGGGCCCCCAGGAUUGCAGACCACUUCAGGGCAUAGGUUCUAAUGAGGAUUCUGUGAGAAUUGCUAGACAAUUGGAUCAGGACAGGCCUGAAAGGCUCCAACCAAGCCCAUUUUAUGGUUCACGUCUAGGUCUUGAGAUACUUAAAAUCUCCCUCUAAAAUAAAAAAAAAUGCUUAGA